AGCGGACAGAUGGGAGCUUGCUCCCUGAUGUUAGCGGCGGACGGGUGAGUAACACGUGGGUAACCUGCCUGUAAGACUGGGAUAACUCCGGGAAACCGGGGCUAAUACCGGAUGGUUGUUUGAACCGCAUGGUUCAAACAUAAAAGGUGGCUUCGGCUACCACUUACAGAUGGACCCGCGGCGCAUUAGCUAGUUGGUGAGGUAACGGCUCACCAAGGCAACGAUGCGUAGCCGACCUGAGAGGGUGAUCGGCCACACUGGGACUGAGACACGGCCCAGACUCCUACGGGAGGCAGCAGUAGGGAAUCUUCCGCAAUGGACGAAAGUCUGACGGAGCAACGCCGCGUGAGUGAUGAAGGUUUUCGGAUCGUAAAGCUCUGUUGUUAGGGAAGAACAAGUACCGUUCGAAUAGGGCGGUACCUUGACGGUACCUAACCAGAAAGCCACGGCUAACUACGUGCCAGCAGCCGCGGUAAUACGUAGGUGGCAA
Molecule: ribosomal RNA, 490 nt
Filed under: Bacillus sp. (in: firmicutes)
Lineage: Bacteria; Bacillati; Bacillota; Bacilli; Caryophanales; Bacillaceae
Description: bacterial SSU rRNA
Rfam family: Bacterial small subunit ribosomal RNA
Source: RNAcentral